Molecule: non-coding RNA, 132 nt
Filed under: Chromera velia
Lineage: Eukaryota; Chromeraceae
Source: RNAcentral
GCAAUUUACACUAGUCGAAACAGACAAAGAAAGAGAACAACAUGAAGAACAAAGAGAAUAAACGAAUGACCGAGUGAAUGAUCUGCGUUCAUGUGUGUCUUCGUGCACUUUUUUGUCCUCCUCUUUCCUUCU